Molecule: ribosomal RNA, 892 nt
Filed under: uncultured bacterium
Lineage: Bacteria
Description: bacterial SSU rRNA
Rfam family: Bacterial small subunit ribosomal RNA
Source: RNAcentral
AACGCUGGCGGCGUGCUUAACACAUGCAAGUCGAACGAGGCUGGGGGGGCAACUCUCCAGUCGAGUGGCGGACGGGUGAGUAACACGUGGGUAACCUGCCCGGAAGUGGGGAAUACCUCGGGGAAACUCGAGCUAAUACCGCAUGACAUCUUCGGGACGAAAGUCCUGACGAUCAAAGCGGGGUCGCAAGAUCUCGCGCUACCGGAUGGGCCCGCGCCCGAUUAGCUAGUUGGCGAGGUAACGGCUCACCAAGGCUUCGAUCGGUAACCGGCCUGAGAGGGCGAUCGGUCACACCGGAACUGAGACACGGUCCGGACUCCUACGGGAGGCAGCAGUGGGGAAUCUUGCGCAAUGGGCGAAAGCCUGACGCAGCAACGCCGCGUGGAGGAUGAAGGCCCUUGGGUUGUAAACUCCUGUCGGUUGGGAAGAAAUCUUGCGGGGCUCAUACCUCCGCAAGUUGACUGUACCAGCAAAGGAAGCCCCGGCUAACUCUGUGCCAGCAGCCGCGGUAAUACAGAGGGGGCCAGCGUUAUUCGGAAUUAUUGGGCGUAAAGGGCGCGUAGGCGGCCUUGCGUGUCUUUCGUGAAAUCCCUCGGCUUAACUGAGGACGUGCGGAAGAAACUGCAGGGCUCGAGUCCGGGAGAGGGGGGUGGAAUUCCCAGUGUAGCGGUGAAAUGCGUAGAUAUUGGGAGGAACACCGGUGGUGAAGGCGGCCCCCUGGACCGGUACUGACGCUGAGGCGCGAAAGCGUGGGUAGCAAACGGGAUUAGAUACCCCGGUAGUCCACGCCGUAAACGAUGGGCACUUGGUGUCGCGGGUAUCGACCCCUGCGGUGCCGAAGCUAACGCAUUAAGUGCCCCGCCUGGGGAGUACGGGUCGCAAGGCUGAAACU